UACGUAGGCAGCAAGCGUUGUUCGGAAUUACUGGGCGUAAAGAGUGUGUAGGCGGUGCUCCAAGUCUGGUGUGAAAUCUCCCGGCUUAACUGGGAGGGUGCAUUAGAAACUGGAAUGCUAGAGGAUGGGAGAGGUAAGCGGAAUUCCUGGUGUAGCGGUGAAAUGCGUAGAUAUCAGGAGGAACACCUGUGGUGUAGACAGCUUACUGGACCAUUUCUGACGCUGAGACACGAAAGCGUGGGUAGCAAACAAG
Molecule: ribosomal RNA, 253 nt
Filed under: uncultured bacterium
Lineage: Bacteria
Description: partial 16S ribosomal RNA
Rfam family: Bacterial small subunit ribosomal RNA
Source: RNAcentral